AACGAACGCUGGCGGCAUGCCUAACACAUGCCAGUCGAACGAGACCUUCGGGUCUAGUGGCGCACGGGUGCGUAACGCGUGGGAACCUGCCCUUAGGUUCGGAAUAACUCCCCGAAAGGGGUGCUAAUACCGGAUAAUGUCUUCGGACCAAAGAUUUAUCGCCUUUGGAUGGGCCCGCGUUGGAUUAGCUAGUUGGUAGGGUAAAAGCCUACCAAGGCGGCGAUCCAUAGCUGGUCUGAGAGGAUGAUCAGCCACACUGGGACUGAGACACGGCCCAGACUCCUACGGGAGGCAGCAGUGGGGAAUAUUGGACAAUGGGCGAAAGCCUGAUCCAGCAAUGCCGCGUGAGUGAUGAAGGCCUUAGGGUUGUAAAGCUCUUUUACCCGGGAUGAUAAUGACAGUACCGGGAGAAUAAGCGCCGGCUAACUCCGUG
This 433-nucleotide ribosomal RNA is filed under the name uncultured bacterium. RNAcentral's name for it is "partial 16S ribosomal RNA". It matches the Rfam family "Bacterial small subunit ribosomal RNA", at positions 29 to 507 of the family's 1533-position model. The record is from RNAcentral.